This 3450-nucleotide long non-coding RNA is filed under the name Sus scrofa (pig). Its description in RNAcentral is "partial pNEAT1". The stretch from base 1127 to 1283 matches the Rfam family "Nuclear enriched abundant transcript 1 conserved region 3". The record is from RNAcentral. Lineage: Eukaryota; Metazoa; Chordata; Mammalia; Artiodactyla; Suidae.
GGGCCUGGGCUGAGUUGUGGGGGAGGAGGUGGCAGUUUAGGGCCUCAGGGGACAUAUGGGGGCGGUGGCAGAGUCAGGCGAUACUGGCGGGCUGGGGGUGGGAGUGUGCCUGCUGGAGGCAGGUUAGAGGGGAGACUAGACCUUAGGGAAGUCUUGCAGGGCAGAGCUGCCUCGAAAGGGCCCGCAGGAACCCGGGGAGAGGAGCACACUCCAGGCCUGGGUGUCGCUGCUGCCCGCUGGAGAAGGGGAACUUGACCCCUGGGAGGGGGCCGAUUCCGCGUAGGCUGGGCGGCCCCCUGUGCCCUGCUUUGUCUGACGGAGGGAGGCAGAGACUGGAGGAGGCUGAGGGUCUCGCCACCCUUGCUGGAGGCGAUAUCUGGCCGUCGAUGCCCUGAACAUGAGCAAGAAGGCAGGCCGUGGGGUGCGGGGUCGCAGUUAGGCUGGGAAGGCAGCACUUGAACUUGUCAAUACCAGCCGCCCCCUUUUUUUCCAGACAAAGGGGUGUGAGCCCGCCUGGGGAUGAGGCCUGGUGUGGUGGCAACUGACCUUAGCUUCGCGGGCUGACAGCUCUGGCCCAGGGCGGUAUGUAAUUCUGGCUCGACCUGGGACAGGGUCCAGCCAGGCCCAACCUGGCGGAGGCCAGGUCUGGGUGCGAGGGGGGUCUAGGGACUGCGUGAGGAGGUGAGGUGCCAUGCUGAGCGGUGGCGCCUCGUGUGUGUCUUGACAGGCAGGGGCUGGAAGUGGACAAAAUUGACCCACGCUUUAUUUUCCAGGUGGCAGUGCUCCCUUUUGGACUUUUCCUGUAGGUUCCGUGCUAACCUCUUCUGUGAGCUCACUCUGCCCCUCCUCCUCCUCCUCCUCCCUUUAACUCCCUCGAGGUUCCCCAUUGGCUUAAGCGUUGCUUCUGGUAAUCUGGUAAGCCCGGGAAGUUGCUCCAGUCCCUGUUGGAGUCGCUACUGCUGGUAAUCCUGAAGGAGGAGAGGCCUCCCCUGUUGAGACUCUGGGUGGGUGGGUGGCUUGCAGGUGGAGGGGGUGGGGCGUGGAUGUGCACCCCCCGGGUGGGCCCGCGGCCAUGGUACCAGCUGAAAGCUACGCAAAUGCCCUCAUAGAUGGUGGUUUGUUGCUGUAGUGUUCAUCAUGGCGAGCUGAUGGCACCAGGAGGAUGGAGCCUCUGGCCAGUGUGAGUCCUAGCAGUGCAGGAGGGGAGACCCUGGAGGAGAGAGCCCGCUAAAUUGAUGUCUGCAGAUUGAAUUUCCAGAGGCUUAGGAGGAGGAAGUUCUCCAAUGUCCCGUGUCCAGGCCUUUGGCUCAGGAAGCCCUGUAUUCAGGAGGCCACCCUUUAAGGGUGUCAAUGAGCUUGUGAGAGGGUGAUGGUUCCAAGUCCCAAGCAGAUGCAUCCGGGGUCGUCAGCAGAUGUGUUGAGUGUUUGAUCCGGAGCACCAACCUCUGGGCACGUUGAAUGCCAGCAGGCACCUCUCCUGUUCGGGGGUGGAGGUUUUCCGAUGGCUGCGUCUUCUAAUGCCUCCUGUCAUGCUAGUUCUGUGCUACGAACCUUGCUUCCAGAAGACUCUUAAGAUGUAGAACAUUUUAACGCUGAUGCCUCAACGCAGAGUGAUGCCUGGUAGAUGGAGCUUGCAGAUGGAGCCCAGGGACCCUGUCAUCUACUCACCUGCCUGCCCCAGCCUCGGUCGGAGGAAUUCUUAGUGUGAUGAUGUAACCUGUGUGUCCAGAAAGUGUUCACUGUUGAAACGCCUUAGGCCAAUACUCACAGGAAGCCACCUGGCAAACUGAGGGGGUCAUUGUGUUGUGCUGUGGUCUGGGAGGGUACAAGGUGGUGCUGCGCAAGUGGGGAUAGAAAUGCAGGUCUGGUUUGGGCAUUCCUACUACAAGAAGGGUGUGGUCAGGGUACUGAUAGUGGUCUCUGCUCCAUCUUGCCCUAUAUACUUUUUAACUUGAAUUUUAUUUGAUUAGAUUUCAAAGUAAUUUUAGUCUUCAAAUGAGGGGACCCCGAGGUGAGGGAUUGGGAGGGAGGGGAUGAUUUGGCCCUGGCGCUGGGGAGGGGGAGGGGGGGGAAGAAAGGGAGAGGGUUGUGAUUAGGUGUGGGUUCUGUAGGGUGGGAGUGGUUGGGAGUGUGGGUCGGAGGGAAUUUUCUGGAGAAAAUAUCAAUAGGCAGGGCUCUGGGGAGUUACGUAGAGCUCGUGGGAGAAGAAAAUGUUAGUUAAUAGUAAAUUGUUAACGCUAGUUGUUGCUUGGAAGCGCAAAAGUUGCAAGUUUUCUAAAAUGCUUAGAACUCUUAAUUGCAGGAAGGAAAGCAAAAUUGUUUUGCUUUGCAAGAUGGGGAGGACUGGAAAAGGUAACAGCCUGGUUAUCAGUCACUUGAAAGACUGGUGUCAGGAACUUGCAUCAGCAGAUUAACAUCUUUCAAUGCUUUGCAAGCUUCAAAGUGGUUUAUCUGAAUGUGUGCAGAAUCCCGAGCAGUCUUAAGACUCUAAAUACCCAAAUUGAGGGCUUUUGAAGUAUUAUGUUUCAGAUUUUGGUGUGCACUUAAGAUGGUCAGAUGUACUUUUCUGGGUUUGUAACAUCUUAGCUGAGGUUUUGCAAUUGAAAACUUGAGCAGAGUGAAAAUGGUUUCUAGAGGAAUUCCGUAUGUCAUCUCCUGCCUUAUUAAACACAUCUCUUGUCUUUGUGAUUGGUACUACUACCAGCAGAAGUUUUUCCCAUUAACCUUUUUGUCCUUGUUGUGACAAGAAGAACGUAAUAACCUUGUGACCGCUGUCGUCACUGUAUGUUUGGUAGCAAAUAGUCCAUGUAUCCUUGAUAAGGUUUCAGUUCAUAAUCCGCUGUAUCUUUAGUUUGAAUGUUUGUGCUUUUUAAGUGACCCAGUACUUCAUGUGGGAAACUAUUAAACCAAAAUCAGUUUUGGAAAUGAGAACAAAACUAGGGCUGGGCAAGUGCUUUAGAUACGGUCUGUAAAAAUCCAGGGGAAGAUCUGAACUCUUAUGAUACUUGUUUCUGAGAUGCACCUAUUUAAUUGGUAAAGUAACAGCUGUGGCUUUUUAUCAUCUCCCUUUUCCCCUUAAAUUUACUUUGAAAAUUUUAAAUCCCCACUACUUAUUACCCUUGGGAGUUACGUCUUCUGGGUUCUUUGGUGAUGUUUAAAAAUAUGUUGACAUGUAGUUCAAUUCUUAACCUGUGACUUGGGCAUGAUGCGGUGACUCAUUGGAAUUUGAAGAGCACCAGUCACGCGUGUCGGGAAAUAUGUUGCGUUAUGCUGUUGUGAAAUCGAAACUGUAAAAGUAGGUGGUGAAAAUCACGUCUCUGUUGCUCUGUGUGGUGAGAACCAGUCCUGUUGCAUCAUGUAUGAUGACUAAUCAUUUUUCUUCCCCUUCACAGCACAAAUAAAGGUUUGAGUUCUAAACUCAAAAAAAAAAAAAAAAAAAAAAAAAAAAAA